This 497-nucleotide ribosomal RNA is filed under the name uncultured bacterium. RNAcentral's name for it is "partial 16S ribosomal RNA". It matches the Rfam family "Bacterial small subunit ribosomal RNA", at positions 28 to 507 of the family's 1533-position model. The record is from RNAcentral.
GAUGAACGCUGGCGGCGUGCCUAAUACAUGCAAGUCGAGCGAACAGACGAGGAUCUUGCUCCUCUGACGUUAGCGGCGGACGGGUGAGUCACACGUGGAUAACCUAUCUAUAAGACUGGGAUAACUUCGGGAAACCGGAGCUAAUACCGGAUAAUAUAUUGAACCGCAUGGUUCAAUAGUGAACGACGGUUUUGCUGUCCCUUAUAGAUGGUUCCGCGCCGCAUUAGCUAGUUGGUAAGGUAACGGCUUACCAAGGCGACGAUGCGUAGCCGACCUGAGAGGGUGAUCGGCCACACUGGAACUGAGACACGGUCCAGACUCCUACGGGAGGCAGCAGUAGGGAAUCUUCCGCAAUGGGCGAAAGCCUGACGGAGCAACGCCGCGUGAGUGAUGAAGGUCUUCGGGUCGUAAAACUCUGUUAUUGGGGAAGAACAAAUGUGUAAGUAACUAUGCACGGCUUGACGGUACCUAAACAGAAAGCCACGGCUAACUACGUG